UUCCUCGACCCAUAGAAUAAUAGUCUCUAUCUUGUAAAAUGUUUACAAGGACUUGAGACAUGAUGCAUAUGGCGUGUGUGGCACAAAACCUGGCACACAAGUGUGGCUCAAUAAAUGGUCACGAUGAUUCCCUCCACCUCCCCAGGCUAGUGUGACAGUCUCAUUGUAUUCCAUCAUAUCACACACAUCUCCUUCAGGGGUUUCCUCACACUUGCAAGUAAUAGAUUAAAAGCUUCUGGGCCGGGCGCAGUGGCUCAAGCCUGUAAUCCCAGCACUUUGGGAGGCCGAGACGGGCGGAUCACAAGGUCAGGAGAUCAAGACCAUCCUGGCUAACACAGUGAAACCCCGUCUCUACUAAAAAAUACAAAAAACUAGCCGGGUGAGGUGGCGGGCGCCUGUAGUCCCAGCUACUCGGGAGGCUGAGGCAGGAGAAUGGCAUAAACCUGGGAGGCAGAGCUUGCAGUGAGCUGAGAUCCGGCCGCUGCACUCCAGCCCGGGUGACAGAGCGAGACUCCGUCUCAAAAAAAAAAAAAAAAAAAAAAAGCUUCUGGACCCAGCCAGACCCUGUCACCCCUGCUAUUUCUGCAAACCCCUCUGAGACCACUUUUCCACAGCCUUCUCCUCUACUCAUCUCUCUAUCUGCAAGAUGUCGACCUCAAUGUGAGACUCAACUCCUUGAGCCUGUCACAAAUCAGGCAUGAGCAAUGCACUCUCUGCUAUAGAUUUCAUAAACAGGGGUGGGUCUACACCGUAGCCUCUCUUCUCAGGAACUGUGGUGAACAUAGUCAUCUUCGUCCAGUUACAGCCAUGGGUCUGUAACACCCCUUGAGGGACGCAGCAAUGUGCCCUGUUCACUGUUGCUUCCCCAACACCCAGGGCAAUAUCUGGCCCCCAAGAGGCAGAUCUGAAACACACAGUGAGUAAAUAAAUAAAUGACAGGGAAAGGCGCUUUUGAGCUGGGGGAGAAUCAUGUGGUUGUCCAGUGCCCUCAGCUGUCAGGUCAGUUGUGUGGCAAGGGGCCUGAUUUGGUCCCUACUUGCAGUCAGGAAGAGGCUGAUACUGAUGUGUGUCCAUUUCAGACCUCAGAAAUAACCACCUGCCCGAUACAGUCUUGGCCUUUUCAAAAGUCAUGUGCAUAUUAGCACUUGGGGAUCCUUCUUCACCCACAGGUCUGAUGCUUUCCCAUCAGCAACUGUCACCAAGGGUGACUAAGACACAGGACAGUGGUUCCCCAAACCAGCUGCACAUCAGAAGCCCCUGGGAAGCUUUGGAACACCAGAGCCACUUGGAGGUCAGGUUCCCCUGAGAUCCUGAUUCAAAUGGUCUGGUGUGGGGCCUGAUAGUUUUUUUUAUUUAAAAAUCAUAGCUGAUUCAAAAAUGUAUCACUGAGGGCCAGGCAUGGUGGCUCACGCCUAUAAUCCCAGCCCUUUGGGAGGCCGAGGCAGGAGGAUCACCUGAGGUCAGGGGUUUGAGACCAGCCUGGCCAACAUGGUGAAACCCUGUCUCUACUGAAAACACAAAAUUAGCUGGGCAUGGUGGCAUGUACCUGUAAUCCCAGCUACACAGGAGGCUGAGGCAGGAGAAUUGCUUGAACCCAGAAGGCGGAGGUUGCAGUAAGCCAAGAUUGUGCCAUUGCACUCCAGCCUGGAUGACAAAGCAAGAUUCCGUCUCAAAAAAAAAAAAAAAAAAAAAAA
Macaca fascicularis (crab-eating macaque) is the source of this 1694-nucleotide long non-coding RNA. NCBI's taxonomy places the organism in Eukaryota, Metazoa, Chordata, Mammalia, Primates, Cercopithecidae. The record is from Ensembl.